CGUUUUAGAAACAUUCAGGGGCCAAUCGAUCGUAAGAUCAUUGAGCUCCAUUGGCGGGAUUUCGCCGUCUUCGUUUCUCUUUCUUCGCGGACGAACACGCGCCAGGGCUUUGCGCUUGUGCGAUGCAUCGGCGCUGCGCCGAUUGCGUGCGAGCAAGCUCCGAAAUCCUCAGAGAGCGGGGAUUGGCGUCAGGGGCUUGUAGCUCAGUUGGUUAGAGCGCGCGCUUGAUAAGCGUGAGGUCGGAAGUUCAAGUCUUCCCAGGCCCACCACUUCCAAUCGAGUGCGUUGUCUUUACUGAGAUGCACCAAACGACCGACGUGAGCAUUCGUCUUCUGGUUACGGGGCCAUAGCUCAGCUGGGAGAGCGCGUGCUUUGCAAGCAUGAGGUCGUCGGUUCGAACCCGUCUGGCUCCACCAGCCUUCGCUGGCUGACGCCAGCUGACGGGUUGCUCGACGAAGGCUGUGACCAAUACAUCGUCCGCGAAACAUCACUUCGCAUGUGUCAUCCGUGAGGAUGCGACAUGCGUGUUUUCUGACAUCGUAAAGAGGAGAUCGAUCCGAGUUUGGGAUCUGCGAAGCAAAAUUCGCGGGGCCCAUUCACUAUCUCCGGGAUCAUUUCGGCGCUCGUUCAUCGCAAGAUGAGCGGGUUGUAAAUGAUCCUCGUUGACGAAGCUUGACCGCCUCGUCAUCGGUUCGAUCUUACGAAGCAAGCUGGUCUUUCUAGUCAAUGUCCGGCCGCGCAGCUGGGACUUCGGUCUGAGUGGCGCGGUGUACAUUCUGCCGAGUGUGUGGACAUUGAUAAUGAGAGCAAUCAAGUGCCUUAAGGGUGUUCGGUGGAUGCCUUGGCGCUGAGAGGCGAUGAAGGACGUGCUACGCUGCGAUAAGCCGUGGGGAGCUGCGAAGAAGCUUUGAUCCGCGG
RNAcentral lists this unclassified non-coding RNA (918 nucleotides) under Bradyrhizobium sp. RNAcentral's name for it is "partial 16S-23S ribosomal RNA intergenic spacer". The stretch from base 809 to 918 matches the Rfam family "Bacterial large subunit ribosomal RNA", at positions 1 to 109 of the family's 2925-position model. Lineage: Bacteria; Pseudomonadati; Pseudomonadota; Alphaproteobacteria; Hyphomicrobiales; Nitrobacteraceae. The record is from RNAcentral.